GAUGAACGCUGGCGGCGUGCCUAAUACAUGCAAGUCGAGCGAACAGAUGAGGAGCUUGCUCCUCUGACGUUAGCGGCGGACGGGUGAGUAACACGUGGAUAACCUACCUAUAAGACUGGGAUAACUUCGGGAAACCGGAGCUAAUACCGGAUAAUAUAUUGAACCGCAUGGUUCAAUAGUGAAAGACGGUUUUGCUGUCACUUAUAGAUGGAUCCGCGCCGCAUUAGCUAGUUGGUAAGGUAACGGCUUACCAAGGCAACGAUGCGUAGCCGACCUGAGCGGGUGAUCGGCCACACUGGAACUGAGACACGGUCCAGACUCCUACGGGAGGCAGCAGUAGGGAAUCGUCCGCAAUGGGCGAAAGCCUGACGGAGCAACGCCGCGUGAGUGAUGAAGGUCUUCGGAUCGUAAAACUCUGUUAUUAGGGAAGAACAAAUGUGUAAGUAACUAUGCACGUCUUGACGGUACCUAAUCAGAAAGCCACGGCUAACUACGUG
RNAcentral lists this ribosomal RNA (497 nucleotides) under uncultured bacterium. RNAcentral describes it as "partial 16S ribosomal RNA". It matches the Rfam family "Bacterial small subunit ribosomal RNA", at positions 28 to 507 of the family's 1533-position model. The record is from RNAcentral.